This 76-nucleotide transfer RNA is filed under the name Yimella lutea. RNAcentral's name for it is "tRNA-Pro". It matches the Rfam family "tRNA". From Rfam's summary of the family: Transfer RNA (tRNA) molecules are approximately 80 nucleotides in length. Lineage: Bacteria; Bacillati; Actinomycetota; Actinomycetes; Micrococcales; Dermacoccaceae. The record is from RNAcentral.
CGGGAUGUGGGCCAGCGGCUAGGCCGCCCGCUUUGGGAGCGGGACAUCUUCGCGGGUUCGAGUCCCGCCAUCCCGA